Molecule: unclassified non-coding RNA, 698 nt
Filed under: Hermetia illucens (black soldier fly)
Lineage: Eukaryota; Metazoa; Arthropoda; Insecta; Diptera; Stratiomyidae
Description: putative trypsin-6, transcript variant X4
Source: RNAcentral
UUUGACUACUAGCUUGAUGUGAGUCGGCUCUUUGAGUGACAAUUAAAAUUUUAAUUCAUAACCGUUUCCAAGUGAAAUUUCUAGUUUGUCUAUUAAUUAUUGUCGAUUUUUUCCGGUUGCCCUAAUGGCGAAUAUUUUCGCAUUUAUAGAUUUUAUUCUAUGUUUGAAAUUAGCGUAUGCUCCAAGUUAUCCACAGAUGUUAGCAACUUUUCCUUGUUUGGUUCAGAUUGCAGACCGGAAUGGAUCUCACUUAUGUGGCGGUGCAUUGCUCCAGAGUAACGCUGUGCUUUCGUCCGCGGGGUGCCUUCAACCGUAUGCUUUAGGAAGAAAGCUAAAAACGCUAGUAGUUCAAGCAGGUUGCCCUCAUUCACCGUCCUACCAGGAGAAACGUGUUCGACUAGUCCACAUUCACGACAAGUACAAUAGCGUCCUCAAGAAGAACGAACUUGCAGUAAUUAUAUUGACUUCCAAUGUCAAAAACACUUUGCAUAGUAGACCAAUUGCAUUUCCGCCGCGGCCUGCAAUCGCUGGAGAGAACUGCUUUUAUCCAACAUACGAUUUUUCUUCCAAUGGUUAUAAGAAAACGAAAUUUAUGUAAACAUCCUGAACUUGAGAACAAGAUCUGUGUUGACAGCAGAAAAGCUGUAUUUGGGACUUGCAAAGGAGACAACGGUGGCCCGCUUAUUUGUAAAAACUUA